Molecule: unclassified non-coding RNA, 199 nt
Filed under: fungal sp.
Lineage: Eukaryota; Fungi
Description: partial internal transcribed spacer region
Rfam family: Eukaryotic small subunit ribosomal RNA (bases 1-45)
Source: RNAcentral
AGUCGUAACAAGGUUUCCGUAGGUGAACCUGCGGAAGGAUCAAUCUUUAUUUUAAACGUAGUAAAAAGUAUUGGAUUUGUUUUUUUUUAAAUUCAAAUAAAUACUUUUUAUGGAAUUAUUUCUAUUGGUAUAUUUAUAAAUAUGUAUAAUUUUGUAUGGAAAAUAUGAUACACUGUCAACAGUGGAUGUCUUGGCUCGC